Molecule: ribosomal RNA, 481 nt
Filed under: uncultured bacterium
Lineage: Bacteria
Description: partial 16S ribosomal RNA
Rfam family: Bacterial small subunit ribosomal RNA
Source: RNAcentral
GACGAACGCUGGCGGCGUGCUUAACACAUGCAAGUCGAACGGGAUCCGGGCUUUCGGGGUUGGUGAGAGUGGCGAACGGGUGAGUAACACGUGAGUAACCUGCUCCCUUCUUUGGGAUAACGUCGGGAAAUCGGCGCUAAUACUGGAUAUUCUUGCUGCAUCGCAUGGUGGGGUUUGGAAUGGGUUUCUGGGGGGGGAUGGGCUCGCGGCCUAUCGGCUUGUUGGUGGUGUGAUGGCCUAUCGAGGCUGUGACGGGUAGCCGGCGUGAGAGGGUUUCCGGGCACACUGAGAAUGAGACACCGCACAGAGACCGACGCACGGCCGCGGUUGGGAAGAUUGGAAGAGGGGGGGAAGACUGAAGCAGGGACGCCGGGUUAGUGAUGCCGUGCUGCGGGUUGUAAACCUCUUUUAGUAUGGAACAAGGAUUCUUCCUGUGGGGAGUUUGACGGUACCUGCAGAAGAAGCUCCGGCUAACUACGUG